RNAcentral lists this ribosomal RNA (292 nucleotides) under uncultured bacterium. Its description in RNAcentral is "partial 16S ribosomal RNA". It matches the Rfam family "Bacterial small subunit ribosomal RNA", at positions 505 to 796 of the family's 1533-position model. The record is from RNAcentral.
GUGUCAGCCGCCGCGGUAAUACAGAGGGUGCGAGCGUUGUCCGGAAUCACUGGGCGUAAAGGGCGCGUAGGCGGUUUUGUAAGUCGGGGGUGAAAUGCUGCGGCUCAACCGCAGCGCUGCCUUCGAGACUGCAAGACUGGAGCACGGUAGAGGCGGAUGGAAUUCCCGGUGUAGCGGUGGAAUGCGUAGAGAUCGGGAAGAACACCAAUGGCGAAGGCAGUCCGCUGGGCCGUUGCUGACGCUGAGGCGCGACAGCGUGGGGAGCAAACAGGAUUAGAAACCCGCGUAGUCC